UACAGAGGUCUCAACCGUUGUUCGGAUUCACUGGGCGUAAAGGGUGCGUAGGCGGUCGUGCAAGUCGGAUGUGAAAUCUCAGGGCUCAACCCUGAAACUGCAUUCGAUACUGCGCGGCUAGAGUGCUGGAGGGGAGACUGGAAUUUACGGUGUAGCAGUGAAAUGCGUAGAUAUCGUAAGGAAGACCAGUGGCGAAGGCGAGUCUCUGGACAGCAACUGACGCUGAGGCACGAAGGCCAGGGGAGCAAACGGG
This 253-nucleotide ribosomal RNA is filed under the name uncultured bacterium. Its description in RNAcentral is "partial 16S ribosomal RNA". It matches the Rfam family "Bacterial small subunit ribosomal RNA", at positions 524 to 776 of the family's 1533-position model. The record is from RNAcentral.